UAGUCACUUGCAAAGUAUUUUUCAGUUAACAAACUUCAUUAUUGUUAUCGCCUGUCUAUUUCCAGGAUAACCAUGAAGACAACCAUAGUGAGUUUGUUUUGUCUGAUGUUGAUGAACUUCAUUUCUGAGGCAUAUGGAUGUAGAUGUAGUAACUUUACACAAAUAAAUUCAUUCUGUAACGCUGAUUUCGUUAUACGAGGAAUUGCCCAAAACAACAGGACCCUUGCAAGCGGUGAUAUUGAGUAUGAUGUGAAUGUGGAAGAUAAUUUUAAGAUGAUAGUGAAUAAUACAAUAAAACUUCGUUCUCGGUCUCCGAAUAAUUCAUGUGGAGUACAUCUAGACACAGGAACUGAAUAUUUAAUUGCAGGAGCAGCAGUGACUGGACGGACAACUGGAACAUUUUACUAUACAGAUCUCUGCAAUUGGUUUCAAAAUUGGCAGGGAGUUGGCAGUCAUACACAAACAGCACUAGAAACGGGAACUUAUGCUCAAUGUUAAUCGUAUUAAAGCACAUUACAUAUUAC
Long non-coding RNA from Mytilus californianus (California mussel), 524 nucleotides. RefSeq lists it as uncharacterized. The transcript has 5 exons. Lineage: Eukaryota; Metazoa; Mollusca; Bivalvia; Mytilida; Mytilidae. The record is from RefSeq and is a predicted model, not a curated record.